CAGUAUCGGGCGGGAAUGGCGUGUACGGGAAGGAGGUGGCCCGCUGCUCUCCCAGGGGAAAGGUGCGCCUGGCCAGCAGCUCAAGAAGCAGAGCAGCCCAGACCUUAGUGUUUCCCGUGCUCCUGACUGCUUACAAGCUUCGCAGGACUCCUCUGCCUGGCACUGGUCUACAGGAGUGCCCAGCUCUCUCCCCGUGCCCUUGGCUAGCUGCUAGAUAACAUCUUGCUCAACCAAUGCCUGGAACUGGCAGGGAAGCACACCUGCCUGACUGAAGAGCCACCGUCGGGUCUUGCUCAGUGUGAAAGUAAAGGGCUAUUUCAUUUCCCUCAGGUUUCCCACAUGUUGUUUUCAGAUUCGCAAAGAACAGUGUGGUUGUCCCUUGGUUGAAGCUCCAAAGGUCAUUCUAUUUCCUAUUGAACCUGUCUCACUCUCCCCAGUGCCCUCAGAGGUGGAUUCUGGACUGGGGAUGCUGCAGGAGCAUAUCUGAGACUUGUGGCUAACUCACGCUGUCUACAGUAGUGCUGCUUCCAGGGACUGUGAGUUCUCCUUUCCAGCCUCUUUUUUCUGACUCCAUUUCCUGCACAUUUUUCUCCAUAGGAAAUAUGCCUCCUCCCCAUCACCCCAUCAGAAUCCUAGGAGGUUGCACAGUAGUUGGAAGCCAGCAUGGGAGAUGCAGAACCUCUGCACCCAAAUGUAGGGACCAAGCCCACAUGGAAUGCUUGGGGGAAAUUUGCCUGAAAACGUCCUCCACAGUUUCCUUUAGGGGAGAAGAUAAGAAAGAUUUUGUGCAGUUCUCUCACCUGUGCAGCUCAGAAGCAAAGUUUGAGAGGUUUUCACCAGGACCUGGACACCUCCUCUCCCCUCUUCCUCCAUCACUGUCCAGUGACUUCACAUGGUGGAGUAUGGACUGGAGCUGCUGCCUGAUCAUAUCUGAGGCUAUGUUGCUAACUCACACUGUCUACAGCAGUACUGCUUCCAGGGUGAGUAUGGCUGCCCCUUUCCAGCCUGUUUUUCCUGCCUCCAUUUCCUGCACAGUUUUCACCACAGGAAGGUUAUAGGACUUGAUUUAGGUUUAGGUUUAGGGUUAUAGAGUUAGAUUUAUUGGGUUAGGGUGUGUAUUAGGGUUAUGGUUAUAGGGUUAUGAUUAGGAUUAAUGUUACAGUGUUAGCUUUAGGGUUACCAUUAUGGUUAGGCUUAGGGUUACAAGGUUAGGGUUACUGUAUGGGUUAAGGUGCUACCCUUGCCUGUUCUAGAAGUAUAUUUGAAUGACUGACUGGCUGCCAUCCAGUCUUCCCCUCUGUGUAAGCAAUAAAGGCUCUGUCUUUUUUACCCCA
Miniopterus natalensis is the source of this 1334-nucleotide non-coding RNA. Lineage: Eukaryota; Metazoa; Chordata; Mammalia; Chiroptera; Miniopteridae. The record is from RefSeq and is a predicted model, not a curated record.